Molecule: transfer RNA, 69 nt
Rfam family: tRNA
About the family: Transfer RNA (tRNA) molecules are approximately 80 nucleotides in length.
GAGAGAGACAUAGUGGCUAUGGUGUUGGCUUGAAACCAAUUUCAGGGGGUUCGAAACCUUCCUUUCUUA